UGGGGACAUAGAGGUUGCCUCUGUCCAAGGUUGGAUACGCCAUGCUAGGAGAUACUUCCCUCCAUGUGGGGACAUAGAGGUUGCCUCUGUCCAAGGUUGGAUACGUCAUGCUAGGAGAUACUUCCCUCCAUGUGGGGACAUAGAGGUUGCCUCUGUCCAAGGUUGGAUACGCCAUGCUAGGAGAUACUUCCCUCCAUGUGGGGACAUAGAGGUUGUCUCUGUCCAAGGUUGGAUACGCCAUGCUAGGAGAUACUUCCCUCCAUGUGGGGACAUAGAGGUUGCCUCUGUCCAAGGUUGGAUACGCCAUGCUAGGAGAUACUUCCCUCCAUGUGGGGACAUAGAGGUUGCCUCUGUCCAAGGUUGCAU
Long non-coding RNA from Oncorhynchus keta (chum salmon), 366 nucleotides. RefSeq lists it as uncharacterized. The transcript is spliced from 3 exons. NCBI's taxonomy places the organism in Eukaryota, Metazoa, Chordata, Actinopteri, Salmoniformes, Salmonidae. The record is from RefSeq and is a predicted model, not a curated record.